Cyanistes caeruleus (blue tit) is the source of this 6380-nucleotide RNA transcript. It is a transcript of the gene named fibroblast activation protein alpha, with no coding region annotated. The record is from RefSeq and is a predicted model, not a curated record. Lineage: Eukaryota; Metazoa; Chordata; Aves; Passeriformes; Paridae.
CCUCAGGGGCGGCCGGGCCCGGGUCUUUCAGCGGUGGCCGGGGUCGGGUCCCUCAAGGGCGGCCGGGCCUGGGUCUUUCAGCCGGGGCCGGGUCCCUCAGGGGCGGCCGGGACCGGGCCGGGGUCACUGCCAGCCGCCGCGGUGGUGGGUAACGUCGGGGAGAGGGCACGGCCGACUUCUCCUUCCCUUUUCCAGCCUUUGUCUCCUGAUUAUGUAACUUGACACUGCGGUCUUCGGAGUUUUCCCAGUUUUCAGCUGACCUCAUUUCAGUGUGCUAAAUAAAAUAGGUGUAAUUGGUGGUUGGAGAGCUAUUUCAGAAUUUCCGCUGGGCCUGUAUGUAUUUAUUUCCUAAGAUCUACGUAGCCUAUAGAUGUGCAUAGUUUUCAGGGGAAAACGGCGAUUCUCUUCACAUGUGGAAGACAUUAAACAGUUUCUGUUUCUGCUGCUUGUUUUGCAUUCUUGUACCAUCAUUUAUUAUUUCUAAAAGUAAACAUAUGCGAAUUCUACAUAAACAAUAAAGCUAUGGGAUUUUCUUAUAAUUUCUCUGUAGAGAGUAGAAAUAUGGUCAUGACUAUGUCCUGGGAAUGUGGGGAUUGCUAAAAAACAAAGUAGAUACUUUUCAGAGAAAAACAGUGCAUGUCAAGUAUCUGAUGAGUCAUAAAACCUCAAGUUAGUGUAAGCAGAUGUUGGUUACAGCUCACAUUGAUGGGAAGUACAUAAUCACCACCCCGAUAGCCUCCCACUGUCCGUUUCUGGUCCAAGAACUUCCCCAAAAGUGUGGUUUCAAUUUUAUGGAAAGCCUUUGAAAUUUGGCACAGCUUCCAAAAGUAUGUAGGAAAAAAAAAGUCUGCCAGAGGUUUGGCCUCCAACUGUGAAAACAGACACUGCCUUUUCAAACUCCUCUCCUAGAUCUACUGACCAACACCCAGAAGAGAGAACUUAGAUUCUUUCAGAAUACAACAGGAGAAUGAAGACCCGGCUAAAAAUCAUAUUUGGCGUGGUUAUAUGCCUUUUGCUUUCCUUAUUACUUAUGUGUAUUAUACUCCUUCCAUCAAGAGUCGUCAACACAGAUGAUGGUCCCAGAGCUCUUACAUUGGAGGAUUAUUUGAAUGGAAACUUCCAAUAUAAAACAUUUUUUCCAUAUUGGGUGUCAGAUAAUGAAUAUCUUCACCAGUCUGCAGAAGAUGAUAUUAUUCUUUACAAUGUUGAAAUUAAUUAUGCAACCACCAUCAUGACAAACAGCACAAUGAAACAAGUUAAUGCUUCAAAUUAUGUGAUGUCAUCAGACCAAUAUUUCAUAGCUCUGGAAAGCAAUUAUUCAAAGCUGUGGAGAUACUCUUACACAGCAUCAUAUCACAUUUAUGAUCUCAUAAAUGGUGGUUUUGUAACAGAAAAUCAGCUUCCACAUAAAAUUCAGUAUAUAUCCUGGUCACCCGUUGGACACAAAUUGGUAUAUGUAUAUCAGAAUGAUAUCUAUUUGAAACAAAGUCCCAGAGAGGCACCAAUUAAAAUAACUAGUGAUGGAAAACAGAAUGAAAUAUUUAAUGGGAUUCCUGACUGGGUCUAUGAAGAGGAGAUGCUAGCAACAAAAUAUGCACUGUGGUGGUCUCCAAGUGGAAGAUAUUUAGCAUACGUACAAUUUAAUGAUUCUGACAUACCUGUUAUUGAAUAUUCAUAUUUUGGUGAGGACCAGUAUCCUAGAAAAAUAACUAUCCCAUACCCAAAGGCUGGAGCUAAAAAUCCUACUGUUAAAGUGUUUAUUGUAGACACUAUUAACCCUGACGCAUUUGGUCCUAAGGAGAUGCCAGUUCCUGCAGUCAUAGCAUCCAGUGAUCACUAUUUUACUUGGCUUACUUGGGUAACAGAUACUCGAAUCUGUGUGCAGUGGCUGAAGAGAAUACAGAAUUUUUCAGUCUUAGCUAUCUGUGACUUCAAAGAACAUUCAAAUACUUGGGACUGUCCAGAGAAUCAACAGCACAUAGAGGAGAGUCAAACAGGAUGGGCAGGCGGAUUCUUUGUUUCUGCACCAUAUUUUACAUCGGACAGCAGUUCAUACUACAAAAUUUUUAGUGACAAAAAUGGUUAUAAGCACAUUCAUUACAUCAAUGGCUCUGUGGAGAAUGCAAUCCAAGUUACAAGUGGAGAAUGGGAGGCAAUAUAUAUUUUCAGAGUAACAAAUGAUGCAAUUUUCUAUUCAAGCAAUGAAUUUGAAGGCUAUCCAGGAAGAAGGAAUAUUUACAAAAUUAGCACUGGAAGUAAACCUAUGAGAAAACAAUGCAUUACUUGCAAUUUAAGGAAAGAGAGAUGUCAGUAUUAUACAGCAAGAUUCAGUGAACGUUCUACGUAUUAUGCCUUGAUCUGUUAUGGUCCUGGGAUUCCCAUUUCUACUCUUUUUGAGAACCGUGGUGAUAGAGAACUCAGAGUAUUGGAAGACAAUUGGGAAUUGCAGUCUGCUUUGCAAGAGAUCAGACUGCCAAGAGAAGAAAUUAAUAAGCUUGAAGUGGAUGGUAUAACUCUGUGGUACAAAAUGCUUCUACCUCCACAGUUCGACAGAUCUAAGAAGUACCCUCUGCUUAUUCAGGUAUAUGGAGGACCUUGCAGUCAGAAUGUAAAGGAAACCUUUAGCAUUAGCUGGAUAACCUAUCUUGCAAGCAAAGAGGGAAUUAUUGUUGCUCUGGUAGAUGGCAGAGGGACAGCUUAUCAAGGUGACAAGAUUUUGCAUGCAGUAUAUCGAAGACUUGGAGUUUAUGAAGUUGAGGACCAAAUCUCAGCAGUUAAAAAAUUUAUAGAAAUGGGCUUUAUUGAUGAAAAACGAAUAGCAAUAUGGGGCUGGUCCUAUGGUGGCUAUGUAAGUUCUUUGGCACUUGGAUCUGGCAGUGGAGUAUUUAAAUGUGGAAUGGCUGUGGCUCCUGUUUCUAGCUGGGAAUAUUACGCAUCAAUCUACACAGAGCGAUUUAUGGGUCUUCCUAUAAAGUCCGAUAAUCUUGAGCACUAUAAGAAUUCAACUGUGAUGGCAAGAGCAAAGAAUUUCCAAAACGUAGAGUAUCUUCUCAUCCAUGGAACAGCAGAUGAUAAUGUACAUUUUCAGAACUCAGCACAAAUUGCAAAAGCUCUGGUUAAUGCCCAGGUGGAUUUCCAGGCAAUGUGGUAUACUGAUCAGAACCAUGGAAUUCCAGGCCUUUCCAGCAAACAUCUCUACACACAUAUGACCCACUUCCUCAAGCAAUGUUUUUCUUUGUCAGAAUAAGUAGGCUACUCAGAGCAUGCUAAGGCAUCUGAGACAUCUUUGGGAGAAUGAAAUUACAGGAGCACCCAAGUUGUAUAGUUUUCAGUGUUCUUGCCAAAGAAUGGGAAUAUGUCUCCAGCAGAGUGUGACAUUUACACUGAAUUGCUGAAAUAAUGUCUAACCUGAAAGCUUUAUGAUAGAGCAACCAUGUAUUUUGAUGACCUGGGAGAAAUUGCCCUAGGAUGCUGUGAGUGUCAAAAAAAGCCACUUAAAAAUACAUCGACAUCAGAUUACUGGCUGGCCUGUGCUUACAACAGGUAAUAUCACAGUCAAUCACUAGAAAUAGUGCAAAGAACUGCAGACCUAAAGUCGCACUGUAACAGAAUCACAGAAUGGCUGGUGUUGGAAGGCAACUUCAGAGGUCAACUUACUCCACUUCCCUGUUCACAUGGGGCUACCUACAUCCUGUAGCCCAGGACUCUGGCCAGAUGCCUUUUGAAUAUCUAAAACCCAUCUGGACGCUCUACAACCUCCCUGGGCCACCUCUGCCAGUGCUUGGUCACCCUCAUAGUGAAAAAAGGGCUUCCUUAUGCUCAAACACAGAACAUUCUAUGUGUCAGUUUGGGCCUGUUGCCUCUUGUUCUGUCAUUAGGCACCAUGGAGAAGAGGCUGGCUCAAUCUUCUUUGGAAGAUAUCAUCCCUUCAGUUAUUUAUAUAUGGUGAUGAGAUUCUCCCAAGCUUUUUCUUCUCUAGAAAGAGAACAUGUUCCAUUCUGCCUCGUCUGCAAACACAAUCCAUGUUACAAGCAUUACCCUGGACAUUCACUGGACAGUUAUUUGCUCCAUUCCACUUCAAUCAGAGAGAAGGGCCUUAGGAGGCUACAGGAUAGGUUCUUUUGUAACAGAUCUCCAAUGGUUGAAAAGUUGAAAAGUUGAAAGGGCUUGUCCUGAGGCAUCAAGGGAAAGCUAACAAUGUGAAUAAAAAGUGUAUAUAACUACACUGCAAACAUAGAAUAUGAUGUGUAAGAGCCAACACUAGGACACAAUUUGAUGUGAGCUAAGCUGUGAACAUCCUCAAAAUUUUGCUUCCCACUUUCAAAUGUUUAGAGGAUCUGGUUUUCAAAAAAUGCUGAGCACUUCCUGUUCUUUUCUCUUUUGGAAAACAUUCUCACACUUCAGAUACUUAAACAUACCAUUUCAGACAAUGAAACAUGAGUCUUUAAAUAUCUGUCAUAUAAACAAGGUAUCCAAGCCUCUGAAGAUAGGACAUAGCUGUUCUGAAUUAGGUAGACAGGCUUAUGAUGAAAUAGCCACAAAUACAGUUGUUUACAAGCCAGUUUCCACUGUGAAUCAUUUCCAGCUUUUACAAAUUGAAACUAGAGCUGAAAAGUAAAAAUUGCUUUAUUCUAGGAGCUGAAGUGUACAUAAAUAGUAGAAAGUCACUGAUUCCACUCCAGACCUGUUUUCAUCAUCUACCUUAUUCGUGCUGUGUGAGCUGUGCACAUGAAAGAACCUGCAAUCCUUAUACUUCAGAGGCAGACCUACAUGAUUUGUUUCACAUGGGAUUACUGCAGCUGCAAGAAAGAAAAGGCCUGAAGAGAAACUUAGCAGAAAACCAGUCAGGUUCUAGAAUAUGGUUGAUGUUAUACUCAUUUUACUCAGAUAUCAAGUCCAAUUCAGACUGCAUUCAAUAGUUCCCAGUUUGUCAGUCAGUUCCAAUUACAAGGCACAGCUGUUUAGAACAUUUUAUAUAGUCAUUUGAAGGCUCUAUAUUUAAUCUGAAUAAUUCAUAGUAUUUGCUAAGAGCAUUUGGUAUUACUUUCAAUUAUGAACAUUGUCUUCUCAGAAUGUAAAAUAACUAGUACGUAUUUGGCCAGCUCUUCUGCUUGCGCAAAUUGAUGCAGCUCCAUUGACUUGCAGUGAAGCGAUUCCAACUUAUGUGAGUAGACAGCGUGAGUUACAGCACAGUUACAGUGACUGUGGCUCCUGAGGUACAAACCACUUAGCACUCCUGGCAGAGAGCAUGGAGCUGCAUGCUGUCAAAAGGCCUAGAGUGCCCAAACUAACCCUCCAUUUCAGAAAGCCAUUCUUGCUCCCCAAAGGGCGGCUGUACAGCUGUACACAUACAUAGGCACACACUGUGUGUGUUAUGUGCAAGCACACAUUUAUGAUGUAACCUGGUGUUUUAUGUGUGCAUGUGUUUACACAUAUGUUCCUCCUAUAUUGGUUCCCAUUCUCAGAAGGGGAAUGCUCUUUGUGAUUACCAUGUAACAAAGACAGCAAAAUGAAAGGGGCUGCAGGGACCAGCCCUCUGAGCUCACAGCUGACAAGCUUAGGAGAGAAUGCUUUCUGUAUAAUAAAAAAAAGUAAAGGGUGUGGGCCUGUAGUCAUACCCCAAGAUACAUCCUCCUCCCUUUAGACAUGUAAUGGAUAAUAAUAUAAUAGUAAAAAAUAUUUAAUGAAGAAAUACACAAAAGAAUUUGGUGGGGAUACUCUUUUGAAAGCAUUUGAUGAGUAUUUUUUUACUUUUUACUGUCAAAAGCCAGCAAAUUCCUAAUUCAUUAAAAUAUUCAAAUCUUGGCAAUUUUGAUCAGAUGAUGGUACAGGAAGCUUUGAUAAAUUCCAGAUACAGUGAACCCAACCACUCCAAUUGAAUCAUGAGAAACGUGAAAAUUUCCUGAAGGCAGGCCACUUUCAGCUUCUUUCUCUUAGUCUGACUCAAAGUAUUGUCUCAUUUGAGAACACUGAUCUAGAGGACAGUGAGGUUGCCCUUAAUUUUUGCCAGGAGGUGCCAACUAACUGGUGUAUUUUAAAACGUGAGAGGAACAAACCUGAGUGUAUGUGCAUAUCUCAUACACUCGAUAUAAUUUUGUUUGGAAACUGUUUUUUGCUGUGGUCCUGAAAUAUAUACUAUAGAUUCAGUUAUGGCAACAGAGGGUUGCGUGGUUCUUGAUUCGCAGUUCACUUCUUUCCUGUACAUUUUCUGUGUACCACUUGAAAAACAAAUAACUGGUCACCUUCUAGAUGCUAGAUGACCUGCUGGAUGGUACAGCUCUGUGACAACCUGCCCAACUAGGUGCAAUGAGGUGCUCUGUCUCACUUUUUUGUUCUGGAAUCAUCCUAAUGUAAACGAGGAACUUUAUAUGACACAAUAA